Molecule: ribosomal RNA, 497 nt
Filed under: uncultured bacterium
Lineage: Bacteria
Description: partial 16S ribosomal RNA
Rfam family: Bacterial small subunit ribosomal RNA
Source: RNAcentral
GACGAACGCUGGCGGCAUGCCUAACACAUGCAAGUCGAACGAACGCACGAGAAGCUUUCUUCCCUGAUUUUAGCGGCCGUCGGGUGAUUAACACGUGGAUAACAUACCUCUCAGAUUGGGAUAACAUCGGGAAACCGGAUCUAAUACCGGAUAAUAUUUUGACCCGCAUGGUUCAAAAGUUAAAUACGGUCUUUCUGUCACUUAUAGCUGGCUACGGACUGCAUUAGCUAGUUGGUAAGGUAACGGCUUACCAAGGCAACGAUGCAUAGCCGACCUGAGAGGGUGAUCGCCUACCUGGGCUGGGAGACACGGCCCAGACUCCUACGGGAGGCAGCAGUAGGGAAUCUUACGCAAUGGGCGAGAGCCGGACAUAGCAACGCCGCGUGAGUGAUGAAGGAGUUCGGAUCGUAAAACUCUGAUAUUAGGGGAGAACAUAUGUGUAUGUACCUGGGAACAUCUUGACGGUACCUGAUCAGAAAGCCACGGCUAACUACGUG